This 253-nucleotide ribosomal RNA is filed under the name uncultured bacterium. RNAcentral describes it as "partial 16S ribosomal RNA". It matches the Rfam family "Bacterial small subunit ribosomal RNA", at positions 524 to 776 of the family's 1533-position model. The record is from RNAcentral.
UACGUAGGGGGCUAGCGUUGUCCGGAAUCAUUGGGCGUAAAGCGCGUGUAGGCGGUCCGGUAAGUCCGCUGUGAAAGUCGGGGGCUCAACCCCGGAAUGUCUCUCGAAACUGUCGAGCUAGAGUGCAGAAGAGGCAACUGGAAUUCCCAGUGUAGCGGUGAAAUGCGUAGAUAUUGGGAAGAACACCUGAGGCGAAGGCGGGUUGCUGGGCUGACACUGACGCUGAGGCGCGAAAGCCAGGGGAGCGAACGGG